This 1176-nucleotide long non-coding RNA is filed under the name Fragaria vesca (wild strawberry). RNAcentral's name for it is "long non-coding RNA (FVES_LNC004444)". Lineage: Eukaryota; Viridiplantae; Streptophyta; Magnoliopsida; Rosales; Rosaceae. The record is from RNAcentral.
AUAAUAAGAAUUUUACCGUCCCGAUCAUUGAGUAAAUAGUUUAAUUGGUCCCUAGAGGGGUUUCGGGGACAAUUAUGUGCGGAGGAUAAUUCGUAUGGGGAAAAUACGACGACGGUAAAAAUAGUAAAUUUUAGCUAGUAAAAGGUAAUUUUUAUUCGGGUAUUAUUUUUCGGGGUGUUGAAUUUUGGAAUUUUUGGGUUAAAAGGAUUGUUGGGUCGGCUGGGCCGAGCCCAACCCAUUUCUUCUUCUUUUCUCUUCUCCCUCUCUCCCGAUUUUCUUUCCUCCCACCCAGUUUUCUCCUCUCUACACCCAGAAGAGUUCCGGCCGCCCUCCCGCCGCCGUCCGGCCGCCCCAGACCGCCGCACCGGUCCCAAACGAACGGCCUCCAACCCAGCUUCCAUUCUAGGCCGGUAGCAGCCCCCCUAGCGCCGCCGUGAGAGAGCGGUGCCGCCCGUAAGGAAAGGCUGUCCCGAACUUCCCUUCGCCGGAACUUCCUCCUCCGGCCACCAAUCCGGGCAAGCUUGGUACGGUUUUGUAGCCCUCCUCCCGUGCAACAACCCCUCCAAACAGCUCCCUCCCUCUUGAGCUAGGUAAGGAGAAAUUUGAGGUGGAAGUUUUAUGGUGUUUAAGUUGUUUUCGUUCGAUUAGCCUAGUUAGGCUUGGAAUUGGGUGAUGUGUUAGUCAUGAAAGUUGUAGAGGAGAUUGAGAGGAAGAUUCUGUUAAAAUUUGGUAGCAUUUGCAGCUCGUCGGAGUUGGUCGCCGGCCGCCGCUGCCGGCGGAGCCGCCGCUGUUUUGGGAAAUUUUGUGGUUUUUGAUGUAGAAUAUUAAGAGGAUAUUAUUGAGGUGAUUUAUGGAAUUUUUGGAUGAGAUUUGGAUAGGUUCGUGAAUUUCCGAAGUUUGGUAUUUUUGGCGGUUAAUUAAUGUAGAAUCCGGCCGUAGGAUUUAAGUCGUAUUUUGAGUAGGUGGUAUUUACGACUGUUGAGUAUGAUAAUUAAGUUCGGAUCGUUCCGAUUUAAGAAUAUCGAAGUUAGGCAAUGAUGAGCGUAAUUAUGGCUCUCGGGUAAUUUUGCCUAUUUUGAUUAAAUAUUGGAUUAUUGGUUGGGAAAUUAAUAUUAUAUUUGGAACAGGUCGUGAGGAGGCUCGAGCAGACGAGACCCCAGAUCGACAUCAGGCUUA